This is a long non-coding RNA of Prionailurus viverrinus (fishing cat), 528 nucleotides long. RefSeq lists it as uncharacterized. Lineage: Eukaryota; Metazoa; Chordata; Mammalia; Carnivora; Felidae. The record is from RefSeq and is a predicted model, not a curated record. The transcript is spliced from 2 exons.
UCCUGCUAAUCCCUAAUGGCUCAAUUCAGCUGCUACCUCCUUGGCAUCUGUGCCUGACCCAUCUCUUUCCCACCCCUCCACUGGCCUCAUCACUCCCCCACCCUCACCCAUGCCACCCCACAGGCGUAGCUCCGCCCACGUUGCUCCCACAGGGCCACGUUCCUUUUCGUUUAGCAUUUGUUGCCUCUCUUUAUUUUCAUCUAUUUGCUUCUCUGCCGCAACUGUCCAUUGUGAACUUUGCAAGGGCACGUGUUCCGCACUGAUUUUUCUUUGUAUUUAAAAGCCCGGAACAGAGCUGGUGCAUAAGAGCUCGGUGAACGUUUGGUGCGUGGAACGCCGGGCGCAGAAUUUCAGACACCAACCAAGAUGCUGAAGGGAUUUGACUUGAACCAAGGAAGCCUAACCCUAGGCUCGAUGUGCUGAAUGAAGUAUGAAGAGGGAUGCCCUUCCAAAGGUGGCACUUGAACUGAGAUGCCAUGUAAUAUUUUGGAAACAAAAAAAGAUAAAAGUAAAUCUAUCAUUGUUUAA